Non-coding RNA from Macaca mulatta (Rhesus monkey), 925 nucleotides. NCBI's taxonomy places the organism in Eukaryota, Metazoa, Chordata, Mammalia, Primates, Cercopithecidae. The record is from RefSeq and is a predicted model, not a curated record.
UGGCGCCAUGCUGCGUACCCAAGUGCCCCCGCUUCUCCGAUCCACAACCGCCAUUGUCUGGUCGUGCCGUGUAAUGGCCGCUGCCUCCGCCAUGGCUGAACCUUCCUCUGAGACGACCUCUGAGGAGCAGCUGAUCACCCAGGAGCCCAAAGAGGCCAACUCCACGAUGGCCCAAAAGCAGAGCAAGCAGAGGAAGCGAGGGCGCCGUGGGCCCUGCAGGUGUCACGCCAACUGCCGCGGGGACAGCUUCGCCACCUAUUUCCGCCGGGUGCUGAAGCAGGUUCACCAGGGCCUCAGCCUUUCCCGGGAGGCCGUGAGUGUCAUGGAUUCUUUGGUCCAUGACAUACUGGACCGCAUCGCCACCGAGGCUGGUCGCCUGGCCCGCUCCACCAAGCGCCAGACCAUCACCGCCUGGGAGACCCGGAUCGCUGUGCGCCUGCUGCUGCCGGGGGAGAUGGGCAAACUGGCAGAGUCCGAAGGCACGAAGGCUGUCCUCAGAACUUCACUAUAUGCCGUACAGCAACAGAGAAAGUGAAUAGGCUGAUACAAGAAGCAAGGUAACCUUCCUAAACCUUUUCAACACCUCUCCCAUCGCGAAUCCAUAAUAUUAGAAAAGUGUUAUGAAAGUAGUUAAAGAGAAAUGCUCACUGCACAAGUGGACCAAGAAAAACCCCCAUGAAGACAGCAACAACUAAAUCGUUCUGGAUGGUGCCGCCGGGUGAUCCUACAUGUCUGGAGCAACACUUUGAAAACCAAAGACACUUGGCAGAACCCUGUUCCUAUCCAGAAACAGAGCUGUGUACCUGGUCCAAAGCACCACAUCUCACUGAGUGACUUAUUUCUUAUUAUGCUAACUGUUUUGCUUUAAAGCGCCAAUCUUUCUGUCAAAUGGGAUGUACAAAUAAAUUUCUAAGUUAUCCUUGCA